AUAUACAUAUAUCUAUUUUUUUUUUAACCAAAAAUAAUAAAGAAUUACUGCAAUGAAAUUUAAUGUGACACAAUUAACAGCUGUAGUGCCUGUUUAAUAAACGUAAAUCGUUCAAAUCAAAAGAAAUUACGUGUAAUUAUAUGAUACGUUAUUAAAAGCGCGUGCGUUUGGACGUCAAAGUAAACACAGCAGAUCCCAUACAGAACAGAAACAACAGUUUGAGGCACAUUUGUAGACGGUUGAAGAGUGUCGACCAUGGAGGCAGCAACAGCGACUCUGGUUGGCGAGCCACAGUUGCCAACGGCGCCCGAACUGCCCUCCACAUCAUCAAAUGGCAGCAGCAGCAGCAACAACAACAACAACAACAACAACAACAAUUCACCCACAAAUGGGUCGGAGCGCGUAGAUACGGACAACAUUGGCUGGGCCAGGAAUCCUGCUGACGCCACAUCUGAGCUGCGCCAGCGUGCAACAUCAUAUUCUUUCACGGGCAGCGCCCUAGCCAGUGGCAAUUUUGCAGACAUCAAGGAGCCGGGCGCAGCUGAGGCGACUCCGUCGUCAACAUCAUCAUCAUCAGCAACUGGACCGGCUAACGAGGCCGGCAGCAAUGACAAGGACAAGGAGCCCAGCGAGGAGUCGCUGUACGAGUGUAAUAUCUGCUUGGAUACAGCCAAGGAUGCGGUGGUCAGCAUGUGUGGCCAUCUAUUCUGCUGGCCCUGCUUGCAUCAGUGGCUGUUGACGCGCCCCAAUCGCAAGCUCUGCCCCGUUUGCAAGGCAGCCGUUGAUAAGGACAAAGUAAUACCGCUUUACGGUCGCAAUAGCACACGCCAGGAGGAUCCACGCAAUAAGGUGCCACCACGUCCUGCUGGCCAGCGUACAGAGCCCGAGCCAGCUCCUGGCUUUCCGGGUUUUGGUUUUGGGGAUAGUUUCCACGUGUCCUUUGGCAUUGGUGCUUUUCCUUUUGGUUUCUUUACAUCAUCGCUUAACUUUGGCGAGCCGCGUCCAGCUGCGGCUAAUCGCGGCACCACACAGUACGACGACGAGCAGACGCUGUCCAGACUGUUUUUGUAUCUCGCCUUUCUCUGCAUCGGUUGGCUGUUGUUUGCCUAGCAACCUGUCGACAAGGCGGCCCGUCAAUAAACAACAAUGCACCCCAACAACAAGAACAGCAGCAACAAUAGGAAUGACUACAGAAUCAACACAGCAACAACAACACUUGAAUUUGUUUUACUUUCCAUUUGAAUUGAUUUUUUUUUUUUUUUUUUUUUUUUGAUUUUUUGAAAUUGUACAUUUUGUUAAGUUUCGGCGGGGUAAAGUCGCAAACAUCGUGGAAAGGAUUGCUGCGCCCCGAUGCUAAAGUAUCGAUCGUCAGCGCUACUAAAGUGAUCACUUCUUCAAUCCCGUUGCAUAUACAAUCCUUUCUUCGUGUACUUUAAUCGCUAUUGAUGAAAAUGAAAACGACAUUUACGAGCAUGUAUUGUAUAAAAUAAAUUAAAAUAUACAAACAACCAAAAAAUAAUGAAAAGACAACUCAUCUUCUUACGAUUAUGAGUGCAUACAAGCAUGUAGAAAAACAAAAACAAAUUUGGAUUUUAUAUUCUAUGUACAAUGCCCAAUGAAUUAUGUACGCAGUUUCAAGCUUUUGCGUUUAAUAUGUAUAUGUGUGUAAUAAUAAAAUAUAGUUAAUGGCAAUGCAA
This is an RNA transcript of Drosophila montana, 1697 nucleotides long. It is a transcript of the gene named E3 ubiquitin-protein ligase RNF185-like, with no coding region annotated. The record is from RefSeq and is a predicted model, not a curated record. Lineage: Eukaryota; Metazoa; Arthropoda; Insecta; Diptera; Drosophilidae. The transcript is spliced from 5 exons.